This 344-nucleotide long non-coding RNA is filed under the name Capsicum annuum. Its description in RNAcentral is "long non-coding RNA (CANN_LNC007236)". The record is from RNAcentral. Lineage: Eukaryota; Viridiplantae; Streptophyta; Magnoliopsida; Solanales; Solanaceae.
UUGUGAUGGUUGGUAUUAUAGUGAUUGUUAUGAUGGUGGCAGUUGAUAGUGGUGGUGGUGGUCGUGAUGUGACGUUGCUUGAUGUUAGUAGUUGGAGGUAUUGAUUGUGAUGACUAAAAAAUGAAUGAAUGAUGGUUGACGAUGUGUUAGUGCUAGUUGGAGAUAUUGUUAGUUGUGGUGGUGGAGAUGGUUGUUAGUUGAGAUAAAUUGUAGCGAUGAUAGUGAUUGAAGUGAUGGUAGAGGUGGCGUUACUAGUGACAAUAAUGGUGGUAACCGCCGAAGAAUGUGUGGAGGUGGUGAUGUAUUAGUAUUAGUUAGCGGUGGUGCUAGUUGUGAUAGAUAAG